AGUAAUGCAAGUCAGAGCGAACAGAAGGGAGCUUGCUCCCGGAUGUUAGCGGCGGACGGGUGAGUAACACGUGGGUAACCUGCCUGUAAGACUGGGAUAACUCCGGGAAACCGGAGCUAAUACCGGAUAGUUCCUUGAACCGCAUGGUUCAAGGAUGAAAGACGGUUUCGGCUGUCACUUACAGAUGGACCCGCGGCGCAUUAGCUAGUUGGUGGGGUAAUGGCUCACCAAGGCGACGAUGCGUAGCCGACCUGAGAGGGUGAUCGGCCACACUGGGACUGAGACACGGCCCAGACUCCUACGGGAGGCAGCAGUAGGGAAUCUUCCGCAAUGGACGAAAGUCUGACGGAGCAACGCCGCGUGAGUGAUGAAGGUUUUCGGAUCGUAAAGCUCUGUUGUUAGGGAAGAACAAGUGCGAGAGUAACUGCUCGCACCUUGACGGUACCUAACCAGAAAGCCACGGCUAACUACGUGCCAGCAGCCGCGGUAAUACGUAGGUGGCAAGCGUUGUCCGGAAUUAUUGGGCGUAAAGGGCUCGCAGGCGGUUUCUUAAGUCUGAUGUGAAAGCCCCCGGCUCAACCGGGGAGGGUCAUUGGAAACUGGGAAACUUGAGUGCAGAAGAGGAGAGUGGAAUUCCACGUGUAGCGGUGAAAUGCGUAGAGAUGUGGAGGAACACCAGUGGCGAAGGCGACUCUCUGGUCUGUAACUGACGCUGAGGAGCGAAAGCGUGGGGAGCGAACAGGAUUAGAUACCCUGGUAGUCCACGCCGUAAACGAUGAGUGCUAAUGGUUAGGGGGUUUCCGCCCCUUAGUGCUGCAGCUAACGCAUUAAGCACUCCGCCUGGGGGAGUACGGUCGCAAGACUGAAACUCAAAGGAAUUGACGGGGGCCGCACAAC
This 897-nucleotide ribosomal RNA is filed under the name Bacillus sp. (in: firmicutes). RNAcentral's name for it is "bacterial SSU rRNA". It matches the Rfam family "Bacterial small subunit ribosomal RNA", at positions 50 to 929 of the family's 1533-position model. Lineage: Bacteria; Bacillati; Bacillota; Bacilli; Caryophanales; Bacillaceae. The record is from RNAcentral.